Molecule: ribosomal RNA, 118 nt
Filed under: Lates calcarifer (barramundi perch)
Lineage: Eukaryota; Metazoa; Chordata; Actinopteri; Centropomidae
Source: RNAcentral
GCUUACGGCCACACCACCCUGAGCGGCCCGAUCUCGUCUGAUCUCGGAAGCUAAGCAGGGUCGGGCCUGGUUAGUACUUGGAUGGGAGACCGCCUGGGAAUACCAGGUGCCGUAAGCU